RNAcentral lists this long non-coding RNA (1192 nucleotides) under Gallus gallus (chicken). RNAcentral describes it as "lncRNA (ENSGALG00010000701.1)". The record is from RNAcentral. Lineage: Eukaryota; Metazoa; Chordata; Aves; Galliformes; Phasianidae.
GUUGGGUGUGGGGUGUGGGGUGUGGGGCUGCCCCAUAGGGGGAACAGUCGGAGCGGUGCGGCGGUUCGGGGUCACGUUGGGGGUUGCUGAACCCUACAGGGAGAAGACUCCGAACAGCUGUAGGACCACCGCCACCACACAUAGGCCGCUCCAGGACGGCCAGCAGCGCCCUGCAGCCCUCCUCCCCUUUGGCCGCCAUCAGCGCCCGCAGCCGCCGCACCCAACGGCGCCCCCCCGGGGGUCCCAACGCCGCCUCCUCGGUGGGUCCCAACGCCCCCCACCCCCGCAGCCCCUCCAGCAGCCCCCAACCCGGCGCCCGCAGCAGCCGCUCCUCCAACGCGCGGCCCUCAGCCGCCACCACCGCCCACGCCGACGUCAUGGCUGCCUGGGGGGAGAGCGGGGGGUCAGCCCCAUAGCGGACCCACACACCCACUGUUGUGGGGCUCAGCCCCAUAGGGGACCCCACACACCCACUGCCGUGGGGCUCAGCCCCAUAGCGGACCCCACAGACCCACUGCCGUGGGGCUCAGCCCCAUAGGGGACCCCACAGACCCAUUGUUGUGAGGCUAAGCCCUAUAGGGGAUCACACAGACCCAUUGCCGUGGGGCUCAGCCCCAUAGCGGACCCCACACACACACUGCCGUGGGGCUCAGCCCCAUAGCGGACCCCACAGACCCAUUGUUGUGAGGCUCAGCCCUAUAGGGGAUCACACAGACCCACUGCUGUGGGGCUCAGCCCCAUAGCGGACCCCACAGACCCAUUGUUGUGGGGCUCAGCCCUAUAGGAGACGCUGGAGAGUCCCCAUUGGAGGGCUUCGGCCCUAUAUGAGGCUGUAGGGGUGCCAUGGGUGGGGCUCAGCCCUAUAGGGGACCCCACAGACCCAUUGUUGUGGGGCUCAGCCCCAUAGGGGACCCCACAGACCCACUGCUGUGGGGCUCAGCCCCAUAGGGGACCCCACACACCCACUGCCGUGGGGCUCAGCCCUAUAGGAGACACUGGAGAGUCCCCACUGGAGGGCUUCGGCCCUAUAUGAGGCUGUAGGGGUGCCAUGGGUGGGGCUCAGCCCUAUAGGGGACCCCACAGACCCAUUGUUGUGGGGCUCAGCCCCAUAGGGGACCCCACAGACCCACUGCUGUGGGGCUCAGCCCCAUAGCGGACCCCACAGACCCACUGCCGUGGGGCUCAGCCCCAU